GAGAUCUGGAACGUUUUGGGGUACAGAGAUAGACAUACUAAUAUAAAAGUGUUUAAACCAGUAGAAAGACUAGAAAGUCAGUCUUCUUUUUUUCCAAAUUUGAUUGUAUGAAACAAUUCAACUGUCCAUCCCAACUCUAAAAAAUAACCAUGUCCUAUUUUUUGUUGCAUAGGCACUGUUAUGUUACCACAUUAUUCUAUUGGCACACAAAUUAAAUUACCUACUGUGCUGUGAAUCACGCACUGUACUCACUGUAAUCUUUGAGCUUAAUUUUGCCACAGCAAUAACUGAUUAACAUCCCAUUGCUUAUGCUAUCACUUAUAUGUAUUUUUUACUCUUUUCUGACAUGUUUGCUUCCACAAUCUCAAAAUUCUCCCUUUUCAUAUCAAAUUUCUAUAUCAAAAUAUUUUUCCUGAACUUCUAUUUCUAAUGUACAGUGCUAUGGCAUGCAUAACUUGUCUUAAAAACCAAUAAGUCAACAGAGUCCCUUUAAAUUGAUUCAUAGGAUUGUGCAGCAGCUCAAAUAAACAUUUAUUUGUGACUUUCUGAUGCUUUUCUGUUUCUGAAAUUUUAGAGGUUUGCUUUUUUUUCCAUUUCCUGAAAUCGGUGUGGAUUUUUUACGAGUAUCUCAUGAAUGUUCCUGGUUUUAACUAGAGGAUAGGGUGAUGACUUUUAUAAAUUACAGUCUGCAAUCACACCAUAGACUUUAGGGUCAAAGUGUGUCCUGUCAUUUAAUACAUUAUGUUUCAUUUCUUCUGUCAGAGUACUGAAAUGAAUGGACUCCCAUUGCCCUCAGCUAAUGACCUGCCUACACUAGCUGUGCAGUCCAUACAUGGGGAGGCAGUGCAAACUGCACAGGACAGUGGGCUGAAUCUUCUACCACAAGAUUUGCCUGUAAAUCCAGGCAGCCAUCUUUCCCCAUCAACAUCACCUGACAACCCAGGAAAUCCAGAGAGCACACGUUGUGCAUCAAUUCACAGGAUUAAGGUUGUUGAAGAUCUUUUGGCUGUAUUUAUGGACAGCAGCAUAAUACAUUUGACUCUAAAGAUGGACUUUGUAAAUGAAAAGGCAACUGAUGAUGCUGGAGUGUCAAGAGAAGUUUACACUGCAUUCUGGGAACAAUUUCUUGAACAGUGUGAAGGGGAAACGGAGCGAGUGCCAAGGAUGGAUAUGGGUGAAAGGAUUAUUAGACCAUGGUGUCAUGCCAGUGAGGCUAUCAAAGGCCUUCAUCUUAGCCUGCAUUCAUGGCAUUGACUCAGUUGAUGUAGACAUCCUGAUGACAUCAUUUCUCAACUACCUUCCUCCUGUUGAGAGAUCAGCUGUUGAGAAGGCUCUUCAGGGCACAAUGGAGGAAAGUGAUGAAGAAGACUUGCUUGACCUCUUUACAAGGAUGGGUUCCCAUUUCAUACCUACAAAGAACAGCAUGCAACCUGCCAUAGAAACAAUGGCUCACAAAGCUAUUCUACAAGAGGCAAAAUACAUAAUUGAUUGCUUCUCCACACCCAUGGCACUUUUACAGCAGAAACUAUCAGACAAGGAAAGUGUGUUGUCUCUGUAUGAGUCAAAGAAAGCCACAGGCAAAAGAGUGUUGCAACUUUUUGAAAACAACAAAGAUGGUGCUGUCUCAGAGAGAGCAGGCAACCUUUAACCAUCUCCAACGUUAUGUGAAAAAUGCUGACCAAACCAAAGCUGAAAAAAUCCUGCGUUUCUGUUCUGGUUCUUCUGUCAUAUGUGUUGACAAAAUUAUGGUAUGUUUUAAUGCUGAAACUGGACUUGACAGAAGGCCUGUUGCUCAUACCUGUGGUGCUACCCUUGAAGUACCAUGCACAUACAGCUCUUACCCUUUGAAAUGGACAUCCACUGAACUUGAGAGCAGAGUCCUGAUCAGGCCUCUUAGUAACAGGCCUCUUUAUUGUAUGGUUGGUUAUAUUUUGUUUAAAAUUCUUGUUUGUUUUGUCAUUGAAACAUUUGAUGCACUGAACCCUGUGUAGAGCAGUCUGCAAUUAUAUUCUCUUUUUGUGCAAUACUACACCACCAUACUUCACAUGGAUUUUAUUUUUUGAAUUAUGGUUUAAAAAUGACUGCAUAUUUUAUUUCCAUCAGUUUGACUCUAUCAUGAGCUUCAUUGUUGAGCUUUUUUUUUAAGAUACAAUGAGUUAUUACAGAGUUGUCCUUCACUGAUAUAAUUGUUGAUGUUAAUGUGUUAACAAGUGAUACCUGUUUGAUUAUUCAGGGGAAAACAGUUUGAAGGUUAAUGUUUACAAAAUCUGUAGCUGGUGUGGCCUGUGUAAAACUUGGCUAUUAUCUUACCUCAGCACUGCAUUAUAACAUUGUAUCUUCUUAGAAAUAAUGUGUGUGCAUUUUUGCCAUGAAGUGACCUUUAUGCAGAUUGCAAUUUUUUUCAGAUUUUUAAGUUCUCAAUUGGUCUUAAUUACUAAAAACAAACUGAUAAGGCACAUUUUUGUUUUAUUCAUGGUUGCAAGACAGGAUUUCAUGCUGGGAAAAAAUACAGGAUAAUUUAGUAAUAAAAAUAUUAACACUGUUAACAAAAAUAUCAAGUGCUCAUUCUGUUUUCUACCCCUCUGACAUUUCACAGCACAGGUUGUUCAUGCAGAUUAUCUUGAUUGUGUAUUUCUGUCAACUAGAUGUCACUUGAUGCUUGUACUACUUGAUUCUAGAAGUAAUAAAAGUCCUGUUAAUUAUCACA
This is a long non-coding RNA of Centropristis striata (black sea bass), 2707 nucleotides long. RefSeq lists it as uncharacterized. The record is from RefSeq and is a predicted model, not a curated record. The transcript is spliced from 2 exons. NCBI's taxonomy places the organism in Eukaryota, Metazoa, Chordata, Actinopteri, Perciformes, Serranidae.